GGACGUUUAGCUCAGUUGGUUAGAGCGCUACCUUCACACGGUAGAGGUCACUAGUUCGAGUCUAGUAACGUCCACCA
RNAcentral lists this transfer RNA (77 nucleotides) under bacterium. Its description in RNAcentral is "tRNA-Val". It matches the Rfam family "tRNA". Rfam says of the family: Transfer RNA (tRNA) molecules are approximately 80 nucleotides in length. RNAcentral also lists the same sequence under 1 other name. The record is from RNAcentral.